CGUGGAGUAUGUGGUUUAAUUCGAUGCAACGCGAAGAACCUUACCUGGUCUUGACAUCCCGGAGACCCUUAGGAACUAGGGGUGCUUCCAUCUGGAAGAAUCUGGAGACAGGUGCUGCAUGGCUGUCGUCAGCUCGUGUCGUGAGAUGUUGGGUUAAGUCCCGCAACGAGCGCAACCCUUGCCUUUAGUUGCCAGCAGUUCGGCUGGGCACUCUAAAGGGACUGCCGGUGUUAAACCGGAGAAGGUGGGGAUGACGUCAAGUCCUCAUGGCCUUUAUGACCAGGGCUACACACGUACUACAAUGGCCGAUACAAAGGGCAGCGACACUGCGAGGUGAAGCCAAUCCCGUAAAAUCGGUCUCAGUCCGGAUUGGAGUCUGCAACUCGACUCCAUGAAGUUGGAAUCGCUAGUAAUCGUGGAUCAGCAUGCCACGGUGAAUACGUUCCCGGGCCUU
Molecule: ribosomal RNA, 454 nt
Filed under: uncultured Desulfobulbus sp.
Lineage: Bacteria; Pseudomonadati; Thermodesulfobacteriota; Desulfobulbia; Desulfobulbales; Desulfobulbaceae
Description: bacterial SSU rRNA
Rfam family: Bacterial small subunit ribosomal RNA
Source: RNAcentral